This 265-nucleotide ribosomal RNA is filed under the name uncultured bacterium. RNAcentral's name for it is "partial 16S ribosomal RNA". It matches the Rfam family "Bacterial small subunit ribosomal RNA", at positions 96 to 354 of the family's 1533-position model. The record is from RNAcentral.
UGGCGAACGGGUGAGUAACACGUGGGGCAACCUGCCCAAAANAGGGGGAUAACACUUGGAAACAGGUGCUAAUACCGCAUAACCAUAGUUACCGCAUGGUAACUAUGUAAAAGGUGGCUAUACUACCGCUUUUGGAUGGGCCCGCGGCGCAUUAGCUAGUUGGUAGGGUAAAGGCUUACCAAGGCAAUGAUGCGUAGCCGAAUUGAGAGGUUGAUCGGCCACAUUGGGACUGAGACACGGCCCAAACUCCUACGGAAGGCAGCAG